RNAcentral lists this transfer RNA (64 nucleotides) under Cordylochernes scorpioides. Its description in RNAcentral is "tRNA-Ser". The record is from RNAcentral. Lineage: Eukaryota; Metazoa; Arthropoda; Arachnida; Pseudoscorpiones; Chernetidae.
UGUCCUGGGAUGGGAAUCGAACCCACAGUGUUCCGCUUACCAUGUCCACUAGGCUGUCCUGGAC